AUUAUGGCAAACUUGGUAUCACAAAAGGUCAUUAGCUAGCCCAAUAACGUUUUCAUCCACUAUUUGUACUAUAAUACCCUCUCAUGUGAAUACAAUGCCCUUAAUAUCAUAAAACACUAUUUAUGGUUUAAAAGGUGAUAGAGGAUCUGAAGAUGCCGACCAUGUCCCUAGCGGCGAUACAUCUGGUAGUCAUAGUGCCCGAGGAAAAGACUAGUUCUAUGAAGCCUGCGACUACAUAUGAUAAGGGGAAGGGGCCUACUGAAAUUGAGGAUACCAAGAAGACCAUCGAGAAUGACACACUACUAGGUGAAGGGCCUUUUGAUCAAGAGUUUGGGGGCCGACGAUACAUGGUUCACCACUCAGCCGGAAAUGUUAUGGGUGCUAAACAGUUAGCCAAAGCUGUCAACUUCGCUGAAUAACUUGGGUACUCUUCGGGGUCUACAACCUUUGGGGGAGGGCGUGAGGACUAUUUGUAUUGAUGCCUAGACUGCUUGGAGACUGAAGUAUGCCGCUACAUGGCAGAUAACAUAGGUUUUCCAAAGCUAGAGGCCAUAUUAUAAACGAUGCUCUCUGAAGAUUUUUUGGAUUGCCUCGCAUACACGCAUUUGAAGGUGUCGCCUAUGUUAACUUUUUGUUGCCUCGGGUUGUUGAAAUACUACAAAACUUGGUUAAAAUUUGUUUUUUUAACUUUGCAGGGCCUGAUUUUAAGUAAGGCGCUAAAGAACAUGAAAAAAAUUGAGGGCGAAGCUACCUAGAAGGAAAUUGUAAAGCUUAGGUCCGAAGCAUCAGAGGUUCGUUUCAACUGUGCAGAGAAAGAAAAGGCAUCUAAAAUUUUGGAAUAGGAUUUCAUUUAGAGUCGAAGCGAGGUUCAGACUUUGACCAAAGAAAAUAACAAAGCUCUAGGUGUUGCAAUGAGUUGGAGAGGACCUUCUCCCCUGUUGGGGCAAAAUCCUGAGCUAGAAAUUUUGUAUAUGGUGAUACAUUUGGGAUCAUGCAGUGGAUCCUUAAUGAGAUCUGUGCAUACAAGAGUAUCCUCUCAACACGGAAGGACUACUACGCGUGGACAAGCACCAAAGCACUGCUUCAGUUUUCUGAACGUUGGAUGUAGCCAAGUGAAGAUGUGCAUAUAUCCAAACUUUGAAGUUUAUGCAGAUAGCGUCAGGAGAUCAAUUGUUGAAGCUUCGGAAUGGGCAAAAAAAUCCUGUUUGAUAUAUGGUCAAUGGGUGGAAAAGAAAUCUCUAUCGAAGAGUCAAUGAAAAAUAAGGAGAAGGCUCGAAGGGUAGCUGAGAAGGCUACAGCUAUCUGAAAAAACUUGUAGCCAAAGGAAGCCGAAGUUUCUACUUCUCAAGCAAUAAUUGAAUUUAAAUAAUCAGAAGUCGAAGCAACUGCUACCCAAGCCGAAGCAGUUGUUACCGAUGCCAAAGUGGAGGCUGCUGAACUAGCUAAAAAGGCUGCAGAUGACAUUAUUUGGAAGAUCUGUGAGAAAAUUUAUGACGAAGUGAUACAGGGAUAGUGUUUAUUUGAAAAAACUUCUUUUAUUGUAAUAUUAGUGAUGCAAAGGGUAUAAACACUCAAAGCUCUUUAGUGUCUGUUCUAUAAUAUAAAACUUCCUCGCUUUAGUUUAUUAA
Molecule: long non-coding RNA, 1628 nt
Organism: Zea mays
Lineage: Eukaryota; Viridiplantae; Streptophyta; Magnoliopsida; Poales; Poaceae
Exons: 4
Source: RefSeq, a predicted model, not a curated record